Denticeps clupeoides (denticle herring) is the source of this 119-nucleotide ribosomal RNA. The record is from Ensembl. NCBI's taxonomy places the organism in Eukaryota, Metazoa, Chordata, Actinopteri, Clupeiformes, Denticipitidae.
GCUUACGGCCAUACCAGCCCAAGAACACCUGGUCUCGUCUGAUCUCGGAAGCUAAGAAGGCUUGGGCCUGGUUAGUACUUGGAUGGGAGACCUCCUGGGAAUACCAGGUGCUGUAAGCU